UACGGGGGGGGCAAGCGUUGUUCGAAAUUACUGGGCGUAAAGGGCGCGUAGGCGGCCUUCUAAGUCAGACGUGAAAUCCCUCGGCUCAACCGAGGAACUGCGUCUGAUACUGGAAGGCUUGAAUCCGGGAGAGGGAUGUGGAAUUCCAGGUGUAGCGGUGAAAUGCGUAGAUAUCUGGAGGAACACCGGUGGCGAAGGCGGCAUCCUGGACCGGUAUUGACGCUGAGGCGCGAAAGCUAGGGGAGCAAACGGG
This 253-nucleotide ribosomal RNA is filed under the name uncultured bacterium. Its description in RNAcentral is "partial 16S ribosomal RNA". It matches the Rfam family "Bacterial small subunit ribosomal RNA", at positions 524 to 776 of the family's 1533-position model. The record is from RNAcentral.